ACGAACGCUGGCGGCGUGCUUAACACAUGCAAGUCGAACGAGGUAGCAAUACCUAGUGGCGGACGGGUGAGUAACACGUAGGUAACCUGCCUUGUAGUGGGGGAUACCCAUCCGAAAGGAUGGCUAAUACCGCAUACCCUUUGUCGUUGUGAUACGGCUCAGGAAAGAUUUAUCGCUAUGAGAGGGGCCUGCGUAUGAUUAGCUAGUUGGUGAGGUAACGGCUCACCAAGGCGACGAUCAUUAGCUGGUCUGAGAGGACGAUCAGCCACACUGGAACUGAGACACGGUCCAGACUCCUACGGGAGGCAGCAGUGGGGAAUUUUCCGCAAUGGGCGAAAGCCUGACGGAGCAACGCCGCGUGGGUGAUGAAGAUUUUCGGAUCGUAAAGCCCUUUCAGCAGGGACGAAUACAAUGACGGUACCUGCAGAAGAAGCAUCGGCUAACUACGU
RNAcentral lists this ribosomal RNA (449 nucleotides) under uncultured bacterium. RNAcentral describes it as "bacterial SSU rRNA". It matches the Rfam family "Bacterial small subunit ribosomal RNA", at positions 29 to 506 of the family's 1533-position model. The record is from RNAcentral.